CAAUAGCGUAUAUUAAAGUUGUUGCGGUUAAAAAGCUCGUAGUUGGAUUUCUGCCGAGGACGACCGGUCCGCCCUCUGGGUGUGUAUCUGGUUUGGCCUGGGCAUCUUCUUGGAGAACGUAGCUGCACUUGACUGUGUGGUGCGGUGUCCAGGACUUUUACUUUGAGGAAAUUAGAGUGUUUCAAGCAGGCACACGCCUUGAAUACAUUAGCAUGGAAUAAUAAGAUAGGACCUCGGUUCUAUUUUGUUGGUUUCUAGAGCUGAGGUAAUGAUUAAUAGGGAUAGUUGGGGGCAUUCGUAUUUAACUGUCAGAGGUGAAAUUCUUGGUUUUGUUAAAGACGGACUACUGCGAAAGCAUUUGCCAAGGAUGUUUUCAUUGA
Molecule: ribosomal RNA, 380 nt
Filed under: uncultured eukaryote
Lineage: Eukaryota
Description: partial 18S ribosomal RNA
Rfam family: Eukaryotic small subunit ribosomal RNA
Source: RNAcentral